This 720-nucleotide ribosomal RNA is filed under the name Bacillus sp. TUB3. RNAcentral's name for it is "bacterial SSU rRNA". It matches the Rfam family "Bacterial small subunit ribosomal RNA", at positions 128 to 833 of the family's 1533-position model. The record is from RNAcentral. Lineage: Bacteria; Bacillati; Bacillota; Bacilli; Caryophanales; Bacillaceae.
GCCCUGUAGACUGGGAUAACUUCGGGAAACCGGAGCUAAUACCGGAUUAUCCAUUUCACCUCAUGGUGAAAUGUUAAAAGGCGCAUUCUCGCGUCACUACAGGAUGUGCCCGCGGUGCGUUAGCUAGGUUGGUGGGGUAACGGCCUACCAAGGCAACGAUGCAUAGCCGACCUGAGAGGGUGAUCGGCCACAUUGGGACUGAGACACGGCCCAAACUCCUACGGGAGGGAGCAGUAAGGAAUCUUCCACAAUGGAGGAAAGUCUGAUGGAGCAGCGCCGCGUGAGUGAUGAAGGUUUUCGGAUCGUAAAACUCUGUUGUAAGGGAAGAACAAGUACGUUAGGAAAUGAACGUACCUUGACGGUACCUUAUUAGAAAGCCACGGCUAACUACGUGCCAGCAGCCGUGGUAAUACGUAGGGGGCAAGCGUUGUCCGGAUUUAUUGGGCGUAAAGCGCGCGCAGGCGGUUUCUUAAGUCUGAUGUGAAAGCCCACGGCUUAACCGUGGAGGGUCAUUGGAAACUGGGAUACUUGAGUGCAGAAGAGGAAAGUGGAAUUCCAAGUGUAGUGGUGAAGUGCGUAGAGAUUUGGAGGAACACCAGUGGCGAAGGCGACUUUCUGGUCUGCAACUGACGCUGAGGCGCGAAUGCAUGGGGAGCAAACAGGAUUAGAUACCCUGGUAGUCCAUGCCGUAAACGAUGAGUGCUAAGUGUUAGGGGGUUU